AUGCACGCUGGCGGCGUGCCUCAUACCUGCAAGUCGAGCGAACAGACGAGGAGCUUGCUCCUCUGACGUUAGCGGCGGACGGGUGAGUAACACGUGGAUAACCUACCUAUAAGACUGGGAUAACUUCGGGAAACCGGAGCUAAUACCGGAUAAUAUAUUGAACCGCAUGGUUCAAUAGUGAAAGACGGUUUUGCUGUCACUUAUAGAUGGAUCCGCGCCGCAUUAGCUAGUUGGUAAGGUAACGGCUUACCAAGGCGACGAUGCGUAGCCGACCUGAGAGGGUGAUCGGCCACACUGGAACUGAGACACGGUCCAGACUCCUACGGGAGGCAGCAGUAGGGAAUCUUCCGCAAUGGGCGAAAGCCUGACGGAGCAACGCCGCGUGAGUGAUGAAGGUCUUCGGAUCGUAAAACUCUGUUAUUAGGGAAGAACAAAUGUGUAAGUAACUAUGCACGUCUUGACGGGACCUAAUCAGAAAGCCACGGCGAACUACGG
This 495-nucleotide ribosomal RNA is filed under the name uncultured bacterium. RNAcentral's name for it is "partial 16S ribosomal RNA". It matches the Rfam family "Bacterial small subunit ribosomal RNA", at positions 29 to 506 of the family's 1533-position model. The record is from RNAcentral.